UUAAAACAGUUUCUACAGUGCUUUGUGAACAAUCAAAUUCCUCUUAAUAGCAGACAAGUUUGCAUUGACAAAUAAUGGAUUUUCUUCUCCGCAGCUAGUUCUUCUAGGGAAUCUUUGUAUGAUGUUUAGGUGUAUUUUUAAAUUCAUAGAGGUACAACGAAUUAAGUAUUGAAGGUACUCAUCUACCAAAUGCAUAUAGAAAAGCAGAAUGUGUUGGUGUAAAAUUAUUCUGUCUGAAAUGGUUCAAAUUGUUGUUUUUAUUAUUUAAAUUGCAAAUAAGUUAUCUCCAGUUACUUGGACAAACAAGGUUGUGCGUUGAGAUGCAGAGCUUCAACUUUCAUGUAUUUGAUUCUCUUCUCAAAGUGGAUGCUUGUAUGUAGCUGAAAACAGAAAAUAAUGACCUCAAGUUAAAAUUGUGAAUGUUCUUGUUUUAUUUGUUUUUAUAUUAUUAAGAAUCACUGGUGUUUUAUAAAAGCACACAUUUUUAGGACACCAAAAACUUCAACUCUGUCUAACUUUGUAAAGCAUAGUGCAGUAACUUAAAAGAAAACAAACCUUUAAACUAUUUAUUCUUCACUAAGUUGUGAGAACUGGCCGAAGUCAGGUUUGAGAUGGAAGCAUAGUGCAGCUGCAGACUUAUUGUACAAAUCUAUGCAUGACAUAUCUGUAGAGGUGCCAGUUUUGAUCGGAAUAGGCUGCUGCAGAUAUUUCAAAUUAACUAUAAACUACAUUUUUAUGUAUUCAUUUGUUACACUUUACAUGAUCUUUAAAGAGAAAAUUAGCAUUUUCCUUCUUUUUUUCCUAUUGUUUAACACCAUGUUUUUCUAUUUGAUAUUUUGAUAUAUUAGUGUACGGCUUUUAAUGCAUCUCCAACAUAGAAUAUUGGCACAACAGUAAUUAUAACAUUUAAUGCUUCCACAUUACAUCAGCACUAAUGUGUUGAAGGUAUAAGAAAGGGACUUUGGAUUUCUUUUUACUUACUACUUGCAUGGCACUCUAAAAUGCCUGUUUUCUAAGACUAGUACUAUGCAUAUGAUGUGUUUUUCUCAGUAUGGUGCAGUGGUACGCCCUGGCAGAUUGUCACGUACAGUGGCUGGAUGAGGAGGGCUGUAUGCAGUUGACUGAUUUUAAUUGAUUUUUGCUUACCCAACGAGUUUUCCAGAAAGAUCUAAUUAAAUUGUGCUCCUCACUGUGGAGUGCUGCAGAUAGAUACAGGCACUCUGGCUGUAUAUUUCCAUAAAACUAUUGCACUGUAUUUCUAAAAGGUAGAAGUCAAUGAUGAUAGCCAAUGAUCUUUAAAAAACCUACAAUUUAGCCAGAGAAGUAAUUGCAGAAAUGUCUCCAAUUUGUGUUAUACUGGGAAAUGUUACCUCAUUAAAACAUGCUUUCCACACAGGUAUAAGAGGUUUUACGUUCUGACAUAGCGGACGUUGCAUUUGUUAUCCAAGAUAAAGUUUUUACCUUAAGAAAAACAAGACCGCAACUUCACUCUUUGGUCUGAAUUUCUUUCCACGACCAACAAGAAUGCACUGAAGGACAGUUUGGGUCUGACUGACAAGUGCAAACCACAGAAAAGCUGUAUGAAUAUUUUUCACAUACGACAUUUAAACUUGUAGUUGGUUUGAAAACAGCUGUUGCCCAGUCUUGUCAGAAGGGCCUAACCUUUAUUGUUCACACGGUUCGCAUUCUGUAAAUUUAUUUCAUCAAGAUCUUUGGAGGUUCUUUUCCCCUAAAUGCAUGCCAACAUACUGAACACAUACCAAUGUAUUGUUAUAGCAUGUAAGGUCUUUGACAACAAAACGGGACCUUUAAAUUAAUUAUUCUAUACAAACUGUAUCAUGUUCAUCUUUGAAUAAAAUAGUAUUGCCUUUCUGCAA
Etheostoma cragini (Arkansas darter) is the source of this 1877-nucleotide long non-coding RNA. RefSeq lists it as uncharacterized. NCBI's taxonomy places the organism in Eukaryota, Metazoa, Chordata, Actinopteri, Perciformes, Percidae. The transcript is spliced from 2 exons. The record is from RefSeq and is a predicted model, not a curated record.